Long non-coding RNA from Penaeus indicus, 392 nucleotides. RefSeq lists it as uncharacterized. The transcript is spliced from 3 exons. The record is from RefSeq and is a predicted model, not a curated record. NCBI's taxonomy places the organism in Eukaryota, Metazoa, Arthropoda, Malacostraca, Decapoda, Penaeidae.
GGAAAAGGAGACGCAGGACCAGCAGGAAGACCCGAGUCGUCCCCAGGUCAUCAAUAGUGACAUCUGUGGCUUCAAAGGCACUUGGAAUCACGUGGUGGAAGCGCCUGCCAAAGAGGCAGCUGGUGGAGUGGCUGUUUCUACGGUGGAGUGGUGCUGGGUGGCGGCCAUCAUGGAGCGGCGAGGAGGGGCGCUCGAAUACCUUUGCUCAGGCGCCCUCGUGGAGGCCGACCUCGUCCUCACUGCAGCCUCCUGUCUCAAGAGACUGAACAUGAGUGACCUGUACCGCUACAUCGUGAUUCUCGGCGACAGCAACCUGAGCGAGGACCUGCCCUACGGGGUGCAGUUCCACUCCGUCGCUGAAGUGGUCAUCCACCCGACCUAUUCCACCUCCG